CGAUCCAUUGACAGGCCUAAAUGGGAAUAAGCCGUCAAGUCGACAAGAAAGAGAGGAGAGAGAGGAGGAGGUUCUGCGGCUAGGAGGUUCUGCGGCUAUCUGCGGCUACCUGCGGCUACCUGAGGAGAUUCUUUUUUUGUCGAUUCUUGUUUGGGAAGCAACUGGAAAAUCUUCAGCAAUUGGUUGAUUUAUUGAUGCAGAAAGAAGUGAUCAGCAAUCAACAAAUUAUGAGCCUUCAAAAUGAUGUAACAGUUCUCCAAAACACUCUUCUGAACAACGAGCAAAUAUCGCAGCAGAUCUGGGCGCAGUUUUCUAAUGAAAUCAAAAGCUUCAAAAUUGAUGUGAAAGCCGAUAUCGCAGGGGUGAAAGCCGAUAUCGCAGGGGUGAUUAAUUCCGAUAUGUAUGAGAAGAUCGUCAAUAAAAUGACGGUGAUGUUUAACGAGGUAUACAGAAGGCUUCCGGAGCCUGUUGCUCAAAGCCGUGCAGAGAAUGUCUCAAGCCGUGCACAGAAUGUCUCAAGCAGUACGCCCCAAAACUUCUAGAUUGGUUAUGGUGCUUUGCUGGUUGGAUCUCUCCUGUGUUUGCUUCUGUUUGUUGUUUGUAAUCUGUUGCUGAACCAAUGUUACUUAUGUUAUCUGAACUUUUCAUUUGUAUUGGUGUCGUGGACUAAACUUUUUAUUUGUAUUGUGACUCGUGUGUUAUGUAUUGAAUAAUAUUUUUUCCUGUUAUUCAAUUCAUGUUAUUCAAUCAGGAUGCCAAGAAUCCAUUCUGUCUUGACUGGGCAAAGGUAACCUACAGUUUACUACUUUUCUAGUUCUAUAAAUAAUUAUGAGGAUGAAAGUCUGCAUGCACUGCUUGUUUGUUUGAAAAAUGCUAUAUGAUUAUUAAUGGCACCCCCAUUUGGGUUUUAUAGAGUUAAUGAGGACUUAAUGGAACCAAGAAACAAACUGUACACAUACAGUUUGUAGAAACAGGAUAAAUUGUAGAAAUUGUAGAAAUAGGAUAAAUGAUUUACUUUUUAUAUUGUUUGUCCAUGAUAUAGAAAUUUGAUGCUGCUGUGGGAGAUAUUACAAUCACUACAAAUAGAUCACGGUAUGUAGACUUCACAAUGCCUAUAUCAUCAGGAGGGGUGUCUAUUAACAAUGAUAUAUACAAAUGCGUGUGAAAUGUACCAGUGAAAUCAGUAGCAAGCUUCUAACCGACAUCUCUUCAGCUCUUCUUGAAUAAUAGCCUAGACUAGUAUGCUUAUAAGCUUCAAAUACUAUCAUUUUCAUGUUUUCCAUGACGAAUUUUGAUGGAUGUAAGCGGAAGCAAGAGUAUAACCCAGAUGACAUGUUCAGAGGUACUAUUCAGGCUCGUCAAUUCAUAAAGAAGUUCUCUGAGAUGCCGCUUGACAAGAUGGACACUGAACAGGGUCGGUUGUUAGUGUUUUUCACUAACUUU
Molecule: long non-coding RNA, 1443 nt
Organism: Daucus carota subsp. sativus
Lineage: Eukaryota; Viridiplantae; Streptophyta; Magnoliopsida; Apiales; Apiaceae
Exons: 4
Source: RefSeq, a predicted model, not a curated record